RNAcentral lists this ribosomal RNA (425 nucleotides) under uncultured bacterium. RNAcentral describes it as "bacterial SSU rRNA". It matches the Rfam family "Bacterial small subunit ribosomal RNA", at positions 354 to 796 of the family's 1533-position model. The record is from RNAcentral.
GUUAGGAAUAUUGGACAAUGGGCGAAAGCCUGAUCCAGCCAUGCCGCGUGAACGAUGAAGGCCUUCGGGUUGUAAAGUUCUUUAGCCGAUGAUUAUAAUGACUGUAGUCGGAAAAUAAGCCCCGGCUAACUUCGUGCCAGCAGCCGCGGUAAUACGAAGGGGGCGAGCGUUAUUCGGAAUCACUGGGCGUAAAGCGUGCGUAGGCGGUUUUGUAAGUUAGGAGUGAAAGCCCAGGGCUCAACCUUGGAAUUGCUCUUAAAACUGCAAGGCUCGAAUCUCGGAGAGGAUAGCGGAAUUUCCAGUGUAGCAGUGAAAUGCGUAGAUAUUGGAAGGAACACCAGUGGCGUAAGCGGCUAUCUGGACGAGUAUUGACGCUGAGGCACGAAAGCGUGGGGAUCAAACAGGAUUAGAAACCCUGGUAGUCC